AACAGGAUUAGAUACCCUGGUAGUCCACGCUGUAAACGAUGUCGAUUUGAAAGUUGUGGCUUAAAGUCGUGGCUUUCGUAGCUAACGCGUUAAAUCGACCGCCUGGGGAGUACGGCCGCAAGGUUAAAACUCAAAUGAAUUGACGGGGGCCCGCACAAGCGGUGGAGCAUGUGGUUUAAUUCGAUGCAACGCGAAGAACCUUACCUACUCUUGACAUCCAGAGAACUUUCCAGAGAUGGAUUGGUGCCUUCGGGAACUCUGAGACAGGUGCUGCAUGGCUGUCGUCAGCUCGUGUUGUGAAAUGUUGGGUUAAGUCCCGCAACGAGCGCAACCCUUAUCCUUUGUUGCCAGCGGUUCGGCCGGGAACUCAAAGGAGACUGCCAGUGAUAAACUGGAGGAAGGUGGGGAUGACGUCAAGUCAUCAUGGCCCUUACGAGUAGGGCUACACACGUGCUACAAUGGCGUAUACAAAGAGAAGCGACCUCGCGAGAGCAAGCGGACCUCAUAAAGUACGUCGUAGUCCGGAUUGGAGUCUGCAACUCGACUCCAUGAAGUCGGAAUCGCUAGUAAUCGUAGAUCAGAAUGCUACGGUGAAUACGUUCCCGGGCCUUGUACACACCGCCCGUCACACCAUGGGAGUGGGUUGCAAAAGAAGUAGGUAGCUUAACCUUCGGGAGGGCGCUUACCACUUUGUGAUUCAUGACUGGGGUGAAGUCGUAACAAGGUAACCGUAGGGGAACCUGCGGCUGGAUCACCUCCUU
RNAcentral lists this ribosomal RNA (761 nucleotides) under uncultured bacterium. Its description in RNAcentral is "bacterial SSU rRNA". It matches the Rfam family "Bacterial small subunit ribosomal RNA", at positions 771 to 1532 of the family's 1533-position model. The record is from RNAcentral.